GUCUAAACGACUCUCGGCAACGGAUAUCUCGGCUCUCGCAUCGAUGAAGAACGUAGCGAAAUGCGAUACUUGGUGUGAAUUGCAGAAUCCCGUGAACCAUCGAGUCUUUGAACGCAAGUUGCGCCCGAAGCCUCUCGGCUGAGGGCACGUCUGCCUGGGCGUCA
Molecule: ribosomal RNA, 164 nt
Filed under: Pterygiella cylindrica
Lineage: Eukaryota; Viridiplantae; Streptophyta; Magnoliopsida; Lamiales; Orobanchaceae
Also listed under: 3 other names
Description: 5.8S ribosomal RNA
Rfam family: 5.8S ribosomal RNA
About the family: 5.8S ribosomal RNA (5.8S rRNA) is a component of the large subunit of the eukaryotic ribosome.
Source: RNAcentral